Molecule: unclassified non-coding RNA, 301 nt
Organism: Loxodonta africana (African savanna elephant)
Lineage: Eukaryota; Metazoa; Chordata; Mammalia; Proboscidea; Elephantidae
Gene: 7SK
Rfam family: 7SK RNA
About the family: 7SK was discovered as an abundant small nuclear RNA in the mid-70s but a possible function has only recently been suggested.
Source: Ensembl
GGAAGUUGGUCUGGCUAUGACAUCCGCUACCCUCUUGGCUGCCAGGGUUGGGUUGGCUGAUGUGGCUGGUUAAAGGGUGUCUUCUUCCUUCCUCACCCCAUCCGGGUGUGCUCUUCCUGAAACUGAGGACAUCCAGCCAAAGAGGUUGACCUUCUCUGCUAGAGGGACAUGGUGCUUUGGUCAAGGGUAUGGUGGUAACUGUGCUGCCCUUGCAGAAGGGCGAAAGGAUGUUUCAGAGUUACUAUCUGUCUUGCCAGAAAUUACAGAGCAAGACAGAGAUGGAUCUGAACUAGUCAUUUCU